This 2524-nucleotide long non-coding RNA is filed under the name Sus scrofa (pig). RNAcentral's name for it is "lncRNA (ENSSSCG00065067755.1)". Lineage: Eukaryota; Metazoa; Chordata; Mammalia; Artiodactyla; Suidae. The record is from RNAcentral.
GGGGGAGGGAGUGGGAUAGAUUGGGAGCUUGGGGUUAACGGAUGCAAUCUAUUGCUUUUGGAAUGGAUUAACAAUAAGAUCCUGCUGUGUAGCACCAAGAACUAUGUCUAGUUACUUACGAUGGAGCAUGACAAUGGGAGAAAAAAGUAUGUAUACAUGUAUGUGUAACUUGGUCCCCAUGCUGUACAGUGGGAAAAAAAAUUGUGUUGGGGAAAUAACAAUUAAAAAAAGAAAAAGACAGACAUAGGUUGAAAAUGAAAGAAAAGAAAAUGUUAUUCCAGGCAAAAAUCAAUCAAUAGAAGGCUGUGUCAGCUAUACUAAUAUCAGAAAAAAAUACUUAAAUUUUAAAGGAUUAUAAAACUUAGAAAAGGACAUUAUAUAUUUUUGGUGAUGCCUGUAGAAUGUGAAAGCUCCUGGGCCAGGGAUCGAACCCACCCCACAGCAGCAACCUGUGCCGCUGCAGUAAAAAUGCUGGGUCCUUAACCUGCUGCACUACAAAGAAAUCCAGGACAUUAUAUAUUAAUAAAGUUUCAAUACAGCAAGAAGAUAUAGCAAGAAUAAACAUUUGCAUAGUAGACACUUAAAUAAGUGAAGCAAAAAUUGACAGAAUGGUGGGGUGAAAUAGAUAGCUCUUCAGUAACAACUGAAGACUUCAAUACUUCAUUUUCUAUAAUGUGUGAGUAAAGUAGGCAGAAGGUAAGUAAGGAAAUAAAAGAUCUAAACAACACAAAUAAACCAACCAGACCUAAUCAACAUUUGCAGAACACUCUAUCCAACAAAAGCCGAAUACACAUUUUUCUCAAGUGCACAUAAAACAUUCUCCAAGAAAAAUCAUGUUAAGCCAUAAAAGAAGUUGCAGUAGAUUUGAAAAGAUAGAUAUAUCAUAAAAAGUAUCUUCUCCAAUUAUGUGACUUGAACUUAUAAAUCAGUAAGAGAAGGAAGUUGGAAGUUCACAAAUUGUAGAAAUUAACAUGCUCAAACAACAAAUAGGUCAAAAAAUAACAAGGAAAAUUAGGAAAAAACUUUUGAGAUGAAUGAAAACAAAAAUAAAAAAAUACCAAAACUUAUGAGAUGCAGAAACACUAGUGCUCAGAGAGAAAUUUAUAGCUGUUAAUGCAUACACUUGAAAAGAUAAAAGUCUUAAAUAAAUAACUUUAUACCUUACAGAACUAGAAAAAGAAGAGCAAAAUAAACCUAAAGUUAACAGAAUAAUAAUAACUAUUAAAGAAUAAAGAUUGGGGUUAAGGUAAACAAAAUAAAUAAUGGAGAAAUUAAUGAAAUCUAAAGUUGGUUAUUGAAAAAGAUCAGUAAUAUUAACAAAACUUUACCUAGACUGACAAAAACAAUGAGUCACUUAAAAUCAUAAAUGAAACUGGAGACGUAACUAACAGCCUUACACAGAAAAGGCAUUAAAAGAAAAUACUAUAAAUAAUUGUGUAUCAACAAAUUAGAAAACCAAGAAGAAAUAGACAAAUUCCUUGAAAAUCACAAAUCAUCUAAACUCACUCGAGAAGAUACAAAAUCUUAACAGUGGAGAAAUGCUAGCAAGAUGGCUGACUGGGAAGCUCCAGGAGCUCUUUCCCCCACAGAAAUCUGAUUUAACAGAAAUAUACUGACCAGACUACCUCCAUGAGAAUGCUAGAAACCAGUUAAGAAGCUGAAGCACCCAGGCCAAUGUACAACCUAGGACUUCCAGCAAAACAAGUAGCAAAAAAUUGUAGUAUUUCAUGCACCCACUUAUGCAUGCCAUAGCACUGUGCAAUUUAGAGGAAACCUGCCAUACUGUGCUCCUCCUUCAGGAUGGAAACAAAAGUGUGGAUGAUGCUUCUGAUCUUCUAUCUUGUCUAGGUUUUGCUGAGGAACAGUUUUGUUGUUGUUGUUGUUCUUGUUGUUUUUUGUUUGUUUUGUUUGUUUGUUUUUUCUCACCUGACUUGGAGUGCUAAUGGGUUCGGUAGGAAGCUGCUGAAAACAGAAGUGACUACCACAGUAUGUUAGAAAUGCAAUUCUGCAGGCAUAUGCCAGGGGGAACAAGAGGCCACAAAAGAUUUGAGAGUUUCUAAAAUCUAACUGGGCUGAUUGGUGAAGGUCUUUCCUUGCACAAAGCCAGUACACAAAGACUGCAAGAAGUGGUUUCUUUUUCAAAUGCACAAAUCCCAGCAAAAGUUUAUGAAGUAUACAAUGAAAUAGGAAAACACUGACCAAUCAAAAGAGCAAAAUAAAAUUUCAGAAACCAACCAUAAAGAAAUGCAGAUUUUUGAACUCCUUGAGAAAGAAUUUAAAAUAAUUAUUCAAAAGAUCUUCAAUGAGCUGAAAGAGAAUACAGAAAACUAAGUGAAGUCAGGAAAAUGAGUCAUGAACAAAAUGAGAAUAUCAACAAAUAUAUGGAAGCUAUUUUAAAAAAAAACGAAUUCUAGAGCUGAAAAAUACAACUGAACAUUACACUGGAGAAGUUCAAUAGGAGACUUGAGCAGUCAGAACAAAGUAUCAACAAAUUUGAAACAGAUCAUUUGAAAUAAUCAAGCCA